UACGUAGGGGGCGAGCGUUGUCCGGAUUCAUUGGGCGUAAAGAGCUCGUAGGCGGUUCGGUAAGUCAGGUGUGAAAACUCCAGGCUCAACUUGGAGACGCCACCUGAUAUUGUCGUGACUAGAGUCCGGUAGGGGAGCAUGGAAUUCCUGGUGUAGCGGUGAAAUGCGCAGAUAUCAGGAGGAACACCAGCGGCGAAGGCGGUGCUCUGGGCCGGAACUGACGCUGAGGAGCGAAAGCGUGGGGAGCGAACAGG
Molecule: ribosomal RNA, 254 nt
Filed under: uncultured bacterium
Lineage: Bacteria
Description: partial 16S ribosomal RNA
Rfam family: Bacterial small subunit ribosomal RNA
Source: RNAcentral